This 293-nucleotide ribosomal RNA is filed under the name uncultured bacterium. RNAcentral's name for it is "partial 16S ribosomal RNA". It matches the Rfam family "Archaeal small subunit ribosomal RNA", at positions 455 to 747 of the family's 1478-position model. The record is from RNAcentral.
GUGCCAGCAGCCGCGGUAAUACCGGCAGCAUGAGUGAUGGCCGCUAUUAUUGGGCCUAAAGCGUCCGUAGCCGGCCGGGCAAGUCCGUCGGGAAAUCCACUCGCCCAACGAGUGGGCGUCCGACGGAAACUGCACAGCUUGGGACCGGAGGGCUCGAAGGGUACGUUCGGGGUAGGAGUGAAAUCCCAUAAUCCCGCACGGACCACCGAUGGCGAAAGCACUUCGAGAAAACGGAUCCGAUAGUGAGGGACGAAAGCCAGGGUCUCCAACCGGAUUAGAUACCCUUGUAGUCC